ACUUCCGCCCCCUCCCCCUGCCAUUGGAACUAGCUGAGCCGAACUAGUUGCGGCCACCGAGCAGCCGGCUCUCGGCACCUCCUCCUCCGCCUCCCUGUCUCCUGUUCCAUUCGCCUUUCCUCUUCUUUCCUGGCCCACGCCGCUCCGAGGCCUCGCGACCGCCGAGCCUGCAGCCUGCCCCGCGGCCAACAUGAGCUUCUUGUUGGCUUCGAGUACUCGUGGGCUCCUGCAGCCCUGAGGAGGUUCUUCCCCCCCGGCACACCCCGGGGCCAGCGCCUGGAUUCCUUCAUCACCCCCGUCUCUGCCUUCGCUCGCAUUCCCGGGCUUGUUUGUGCGCUUCUCGUGGGUAUCUCCCACUCGCCUGCACAAUCCGUAUCCAAGCGGUGCUCGGUUGAAUGGCUCCGUCGCGGCUGCCCAUUGCUCUUUUCUGGGUCCCAAGCACAGAAGAUAAGACUGUCGUACUUUCCCCUGUCAUCCCAGGACCCUUUUAACUUCCUCUCUCGUCUUAGGGCUGGGAAGUUGGGAUGACAAGUUCUGUAGAUGUAACACUGAAACAAGGCUACUUGCGGGUCGGGAUCCCUUGGACACAGACGGGGGUCCCUGAGAAAGGGGUCUGGAGCCGCCCCCUUGCUUCCUAGAGGCGCCCUUCCUCCCAGAGGACUUCCCUGAAGAGGAUGAGUUUUAUCUUUUUAGACAACCAGCAAAUAGGUUUUGGAUAGUGUGCCCUGCCUAGGUUGAUUAGGUCCACUGGGGAGUUGUUUUGAAAAUCAUUUGUAAAUGCCAACUUUGGCGUCAUGUUUAGUGCUGGUCAUUAUUUCACUUACUUAUCGUUUGUUCCAGACGAGUGGAGGGGAACGUGGAGGGGGAAGGGCAGAAGGAUGGGAUGGCCAGAUGUGGAUAUGGAGGCAGUAGAUAAGCCUCAGGUCCUCUGAAAACAGGGGUUACAGCCUGAGGAAUAACUCCUUUGAAGGCUUCGUUGUGAUGCACUCAUUCCAUGUUUAGUCUGUGUUUAGAAAACUAAUAAAAAAC
RNAcentral lists this long non-coding RNA (1029 nucleotides) under Homo sapiens (human). RNAcentral describes it as "HSALNT0073450". The record is from RNAcentral. Lineage: Eukaryota; Metazoa; Chordata; Mammalia; Primates; Hominidae.